This 22-nucleotide microRNA is filed under the name Tribolium castaneum (red flour beetle). Its description in RNAcentral is "tca-miR-3851m-3p". Lineage: Eukaryota; Metazoa; Arthropoda; Insecta; Coleoptera; Tenebrionidae. The record is from miRBase by way of RNAcentral.
UAGUACGACCCAUGUCGGCCCA